This 514-nucleotide ribosomal RNA is filed under the name uncultured microorganism. RNAcentral describes it as "bacterial SSU rRNA". It matches the Rfam family "Bacterial small subunit ribosomal RNA", at positions 9 to 505 of the family's 1533-position model. The record is from RNAcentral.
GAGUUUGAUCCUGGCUCAGGAUGAACGCUGGCGGCGUGCCUAAUACAUGCAAGUCGAGCGAACGGACGAGAAGCUUGCUUCUCUGAUGUUAGCGGUGGACGGGUGAGUAACACGUGGAUAACCUACCUAUAAGACUGGGAUAACUUCGGGAAACCGGAGCUAAUACCGGAUAAUAUUUUGAACCGCAUGGUUCAACAGUAAAAGACAGUCUUGCUGUCACUUAUAGAUGGAUCCGCGCUGCAUUAGCUAGUUGGUAAGGUAACGGCUUACCAAGGCAACGAUGCAUAGCCGACCUGAGAGGGUGAUCGGCCACACUGGAACUGAGACACGGUCCAGACUCCUACGGGAGGCAGCAGUAGGGAAUCUUCCGCAAUGGGCGAAAGCCUGACGGAGCAACGCCGCGUGAGUGAUGAAGGUCUUCGGAUCGUAAAACUCUGUUAUUAGGGAAGAACAUAUGUGUAAGUAACUGUGCACAUCUUGACGGUACCUAAUCAGAAAGCCACGGCUAACUACG